UGUGAUGACCUUUGAGGAUGUGACUGU
RNAcentral lists this non-coding RNA (27 nucleotides) under Rattus norvegicus (Norway rat). Lineage: Eukaryota; Metazoa; Chordata; Mammalia; Rodentia; Muridae. The record is from RNAcentral.